UUCAUAAUGCUACCAUUAAGGCGGUUGCAAGUCCGAUUGUAAAAAGCAGAGCAGGAA
RNAcentral lists this non-coding RNA (57 nucleotides) under unclassified sequences. The record is from RNAcentral.